CACUUAUUCCGGUCUUUAAAACACAUCGUUUCAUUUAAUUUGGUAAGCAAUAUUGGUGGGCUUCGAUUAGAAUUUUGUUUUAUGUUUUGCUUAAUAAAGCUCAUUCACUACAAGAAAAAAGAUUGAUACCCGACAACCAUAUUAAACAUAAUUUUAAUCGGGAACGAGUGUUUUCUAUCAUUUUUCGACAAUCCUAAUUUCAUCAGAGUUUGGUUCUAGAAAAUAACCAUUUGUUGGAAAAAUUUCGGUAAGUUACGAUAACAAAUAUUGUCAGAAUUUUUUAUCGAAAAAUCAUCUGAAUGUACUAAUGAUUUUUUGAGUAAUCCACCUCCGAUUAAUUUCCGGCAGCUGAUAAUAUUUAUACAAAAAUAAUUAUUUUAAUUAAAUUAUAAAAAUAUAAAAAAUCUUCAUAGAUUUCAUUGCAUAAUAAAUGUAAAAAUUUAAUAAAAAAAUCAAAAGGAAAGAACGGAUCUCCUUUUGACAAUAAAUUUGAUAAAAUUGGUGGUGUAUGAUGCAACGGUGGUGAUAGCGCAUGAGAAGUGAGCGGAAUGGAAGUAGUGGUAAACAAAAUUGUAGCGGUGGUCGUGCAAGGAGUUGCGGUGGCUGAAUGCAAAGAAAGAGGCGUGGCGGUGCAAGGAGCUGCGGCAGCGGCGGUGAAGAAGUUGCGAUAGCAGCGGUGAAGGAGUUGCGGCAGUGGCGAUGCAAGGAGUUGGGGCAGAGGCCAUGAAGGAGUUGCGGCAGAUGCGGUGAAAGAUGUGCGGACAGUGGUGGUGCAAGGUUUUGCG
RNAcentral lists this long non-coding RNA (785 nucleotides) under Brassica rapa (field mustard). Its description in RNAcentral is "long non-coding RNA (BRAP_LNC003006)". The record is from RNAcentral. Lineage: Eukaryota; Viridiplantae; Streptophyta; Magnoliopsida; Brassicales; Brassicaceae.